UACGUAAGGGGCAAGCGUUGUCCGGAAUCACUGGGCGUAAAGCGCACGUAGGCGGUUUGUCAAGUUGGGGGUGUAAGCUCUAGGCCUAACCUAGAAAUUGCCUCCAAAACUAGCAUACUUGAGUAUUAGAGGGGAAGCUGGAAUUCACGGUGUAGCGGUGAAAUGCGUAGAUAUCGUGGAGAACACCCGUGGCGAAGGCGGGCUUCUGGCUAAUUACUGACGCUGAGGUGCGAAAGCUAGGGGAGCGAACGGG
RNAcentral lists this ribosomal RNA (253 nucleotides) under uncultured bacterium. Its description in RNAcentral is "partial 16S ribosomal RNA". It matches the Rfam family "Bacterial small subunit ribosomal RNA", at positions 524 to 776 of the family's 1533-position model. The record is from RNAcentral.